RNAcentral lists this long non-coding RNA (411 nucleotides) under Rosa chinensis. Its description in RNAcentral is "sRNA RchiOBHm_Chr2g0146581". The record is from RNAcentral. Lineage: Eukaryota; Viridiplantae; Streptophyta; Magnoliopsida; Rosales; Rosaceae.
AUGGUGAUUGGCAGAAGCAACCGCAGCAUUUUCCCGCCAAGUUGAUCAGCUCAGAGCGAUCGAGCGACCUCCAUGAAUCGCGAUCAAGCUCGAGGAAGAAGCCCACGAGGCGGACGAGGCUCUGGGAAUCGCGGCCAAGGCCGAGGAAACCCCCGAGGCGGUCGACAUUCUCAGCCACAGCGCUCCACUUAUGAAUGGCGUCCAUCUCAAAAAAAAGAUGCACUUUCUGAAGCUGAGAAACAGAAGGAAUGUCUUCCAUCUGAAAGAAAAUUGGAAGGAAUGGCGAUCAAACAGCAGCCUGGAGCUGGAAUUCAUGGACCUUCACCUAAUGACUUUGCUGGUAAUAAGGAGGGUUCGUCAACAGGUGAAAUGGGAAGUCCCCAGGACAUGUUUCCGUGUAGCUCUUCAAAG